RNAcentral lists this ribosomal RNA (380 nucleotides) under uncultured eukaryote. Its description in RNAcentral is "partial 18S ribosomal RNA". It matches the Rfam family "Eukaryotic small subunit ribosomal RNA", at positions 592 to 976 of the family's 1831-position model. The record is from RNAcentral.
CAAUAGCGUAUAUUAAAGUUGUUGCGGUUAAAAAGCUCGUAGUUGGAUUUCUGCUGAGGACGACCGGUCCGCCCUCUGGGUGAGCAUCUGGUUCGGCCUUGGCAUCUUCUUGGGGAACGUAGCUGCACUUGACUGUGUGGUGCGGUAUCCAGGACUUUUACUUUGAGGAAAUUAGAGUGUUUCAAGCAGGCGCACGCCUUGAAUACAUUAGCAUGGAAUAAUAAGAUAGGACCUCGGUUCUAUUUUGUUGGUUUCUAGAGCUGAGGUAAUGAUUAAUAGGGAUAGUUGGGGGCAUUCGUAUUUAACUGUCAGAGGUGAAAUUCUUGGAUUUGUUAAAGACGGACUACUGCGGAAGCAUUUGCCAAGGAUGUUUUCAUUGA